RNAcentral lists this ribosomal RNA (288 nucleotides) under unidentified marine bacterioplankton. Its description in RNAcentral is "partial 16S ribosomal RNA". It matches the Rfam family "Bacterial small subunit ribosomal RNA", at positions 62 to 339 of the family's 1533-position model. The record is from RNAcentral.
UCGAGCGAACAGACGGGGAGCUUGCUCCCCGACGUUAGCGGCGACGGGUGAGUAACACGUGGGUAACCUACCUAUAAGACUGGAAUAACUCCGGGAAACCGGGGCUAAAUGCCGGAUAACAUGUUGAACCGCAUGGUCCUACAGUGAAAGACGGUCUUGCUGUCACUUAUAGAUGGACCCCGCGCCGUAUUAGCUAGUUGGUAAGGUAACGGCUUACCAAGGCAACGAUACGUAGCCGACCUGAGAGGGCGAUCGGCCACACUGGAACUGAGACACGGUCCAGACUCC